AUGGCGGAGGAACCAUCUGCCAAGCGUCCCCGUGGUGAGACGUCCGACCAGAGCACGGAGGUCGACGACGUUCAGGUCCCCGGUCAGAAGCACGACUACAAAGUGCACCUCAAGGAGGUUGACAUCCACGGCAAGGAAAAGCUGGAUGUCGUAUGCACCAGCAAUCCUGAGGAAGCUGACAAGAUGAUCAGCAGGAUCCUGAAGAGGGUCUGCGGCUUGUACCCUCAGUACAUCGGCGUUGAUGUUGAGUAUACCAGGGAGGACGAACCUCCGCAGAGGGCAGCGGUUCUACAGUUAUGCGUGGAGGAACUCUGUUUGGUAUAUCACAUCACCGCGGCAACAAAAUGGUGA
RNAcentral lists this ribosomal RNA (351 nucleotides) under Triticum aestivum (bread wheat). RNAcentral describes it as "partial small subunit ribosomal RNA". Lineage: Eukaryota; Viridiplantae; Streptophyta; Magnoliopsida; Poales; Poaceae. The record is from RNAcentral.